GAUAUUUAUAGGACCAGAGCGUAGAGGUCAAAUUUAGUGAUAACCAACGCCCAAGGAGUACGAGCACACGUGUUUUUCGAACGAGUUCACGUGUUGCCUCGCACGAUGGCUUAUUUCGAUAGAUUUAUGAUUUCAGUGUUGAACAUUUGCUUGUCCGCAAUGAAGGGUGCAGGUUGCACGAUGGUGCUCGUGCUGUUUUUGGCUCAUGCAGCACUUGGUGCAGGUGACUGCAUAGGGGAUAUUAUUCCUGGAUAUCAAGAAGCCGAACCUGUUUUACAUUCGGUCAUACACAAAUUACUUCAGUGAUAUGAAGCAUGUAGGAGGAAAAUACCUGGUCGAGAACGGAACAAUCGUAGUCGUGGCGUGCCCAGGAAGCGAAAGUAUGAUUAAUGCAACAGACCCGAGGAGGAACGUGGGUUGAUUCUGGGUUUUAUGCACAUUUUCGUGAUCUAGGCGAACUAGUCACAAUAAGACACAAUGCCCUUGGCAGCUGCUAUAACAAAGAACAAAGUCCGUACUCUACUCUAAACACAUUUGGUCUUCCGGAGCAUCUCUUGGCAGAUCCAAAAGCUCUUGGGACUCGAUUUUCGGGGACUGUAUGCGGAUCAACCGGUACCUAAAAUAUUGGCCAAAGGACAUCUGCCUCCUGAUGCUGACUUCCAAAAUUUGUUUCUUAAAAAGCUGACGUAUUAAUAUUACCAUAAUUCAGCACCGGAAUGGAGAGCCAUCAACUCUGGCAUUUGGAAAGCAUUGGAGCAACUCAUACGGACAACACAUAAACUCGCCAUAAUUUACACAGGAACGAGCGAUGGCCAAGAGAAAUUCGCGUCAAGACAACCUGAUUAUUUCGAUUAUCAGAACCAACUUGUCCGGAUUCCUGAUUUCUUUUGGAAGCUCGUCUUUCCCAUUGAUUCCAAUGAAAACUUUAGUACUCCUUUUGGUUACGUCGCUUGCAAUAAGGAUAGAGUUCGCAACCCAAGUGUAAUGGAAAUUUUGAAAAAUUACCCGUGCCCCAAAGGUUAACUUGAAGGAAGCUAUUGUUUCAACGGAGAUGGUGUAUAUAUCAUUGCGAACAUAUUUCCAGAGGCAUCGUUGCUUUUGAAUCCAGAAGUUUAUAAAUAGGGCUGCGAAUUUUAGACGAUUUUACUAUUUUUUUCUAAGCUUCAGAUCGUAGUGGGACUAUCAAAUGAGCACGAAUCAUGCAUUUUUAAGCUAUUUGAACCACACUUAAAAUCGGCUAAAACCAUCUAAAUAUGCCAAAACCAAAUAAAACCGUUUAAAAUCGUCUAAAACCGUCUAAAUAGUUAAGUUAGACAUGCAAAUUUUUCCAAAAACAUAACUUUCUUAUGCCGUGAAAAAUAUUUAUCCCAAAAUUUGAGCUCUGAUGGGUGAAACGACACCAAACUUGACAAUUUUGGGAAUUUUUUCGCAUUCUGACCCUAAGGGCCAUGUUAGGGUAAGAACCUGAGGGUCGGAAUCAACCUUUGGUGGUUCAAUUUCGAUCCCCACAACGCGUUGAAGUAAACAGGACAUGUAAAAAUCGAUUUUUUAAAUGACGGGCACAUUUUCUAAUUAAAGGUCAUGCUCGGGAGAACGGAUUCGAGCCGCGGUUUCAAAAAUUCAAACUUUGACUGUCAUUUUAAAAUUUUGUUUACUUGCACACAAUUUCACGGGUUACAAUUUGACUAUGUAGCUAUUAAAAAAAUUGAACCCUGAAAAAUUGAUUUCUCGGAAAAGGUCGCUUCGCAAAAUGUGAUCUUGAAUUUUGACCUACAUUUCCAAGGUAGGCAAUGUGGUUCAGGGUGAAAAACUAGGUCGGGUAGUGAAAGUUUCAGGAUGAUAUCUCAAAAUGCAAUCAAUAUAUGUAUAUAUAUCAGUGAUUAUCUAUUUCAGUUAAUCGUAAAUCUAGAUUUAUAUGUAAGUUGCCUCUGAAAAAUACAUUACAAUAAAUAAGCUAAACGUGAAUUUGUGUGAAAUAUAUAAUAAUAAAACGCGAAGGAAACAAUGAAAAAUAAAACCGUCUAAAUUGACAAAAACCAUCUAAAACCGACUAAUUUGCUCUUAGAAACAGUCUAAAAAUAGUCGACUAUUUUGGCAAAAAUCGUCUAAAAUUCACAGCCCUAUUUAUAAAACACAAAUCGAGUCCAAUUCAAUUCAAUUAAUUUAUUUGUCUUUUAGCAUGGUAAUACAUUCAGGUGAUGAUCUUCUCACAAUAUAUUCCAUCUAAUUGCAAAUUACAAACACAAUAUAUACAACAAUAUCAUGAGUUUAUCAUCAUUUAUAAAAUCUGUUGAACACAACUUGUGUUUGAAAUAAAUUGAAUUGACAAUACCAUGAGUUUUUGAUAAAAGAGAAAUUCUCUUGGGAAGAGUAAAAUUAGUGUUUACAAAGUAAAUCUUUCAAAGCCGUGGAAAAUUGUUUGACUCAACGUUAUCUAUACAUUAUAUCAUUUGUUUAAAUAAAACGCAAACGUUGCUUUUGACAAUAUUUCACACGUCGUAACAUUUUAUUUUAAAUUGCAUUUCCGUGUGCUCUAAUUUACAAAUAAUGUUGUAAAUAAAAAGCUUACUUUAAAAUUUG
Molecule: long non-coding RNA, 2580 nt
Organism: Cloeon dipterum
Lineage: Eukaryota; Metazoa; Arthropoda; Insecta; Ephemeroptera; Baetidae
Exons: 4
Source: RefSeq, a predicted model, not a curated record